Molecule: ribosomal RNA, 253 nt
Filed under: uncultured bacterium
Lineage: Bacteria
Description: partial 16S ribosomal RNA
Rfam family: Bacterial small subunit ribosomal RNA
Source: RNAcentral
UACGUAGGGGGCAAGCGUUGUUCGGAAUUACUGGGCGUAAAGGGCGCGUAGGCGGCCCAGCAAGUCGGGAGUGAAAGCCCGGGGCUCAACCCCGGAAUGUCUUUCGAAACUGCUGAGCUAGAGUGCGGAAGAGGCAACUGGAAUUCCCAGUGUAGCGGUGAAAUGCGUAGAUAUUGGGAAGAACACCUGAGGCGAAGGCGGGUUGCUGGGCCGACACUGACGCUGAGGCGCGAAAGCCAGGGGAGCGAACGGG